AUUGAACGCUGGCGGCAGGCCUAACACAUGCAAGUCGAGCGAGCGGCGGACGGGUGAGUAAUGUCUGGGAAACUGCCUGAUGGAGGGGGGUAACUACUGGAAACGGUAGCUAAUACCGCAUACCAUCAGAUGUGCCCAGAGGGGAUUAGCUAGUAGGUGGGGUAAUGGCGCACCUAGGCGACGAUCCCUAGCUGGUCUGAGGGGAUGACCAGGCACACUGGGAAUGAGACACGGUCCCGACUCCUACGGGAGGGAGCAGUGGGGAAUAUUGCAGCAUGGGCGCAAGCCUGAUGCAGCCAUGCCGCGUGUGGUAAGAAGGCUUUCGGGUUGUAAAGCACUUUCAGCGGAGAGGCGGUACCCGAAGAAGAAGCACCGGCUAACUCCGUGCCAGCCGCCGCGGUAAUUC
This 406-nucleotide ribosomal RNA is filed under the name uncultured bacterium. RNAcentral describes it as "partial 16S ribosomal RNA". It matches the Rfam family "Bacterial small subunit ribosomal RNA", at positions 29 to 526 of the family's 1533-position model. The record is from RNAcentral.